ACAUGAUCUGUCUGUAAAAUCUGUCAUCCUAUUGGUCCCCAGUGUUGACUAGACAUACCUGCAUGGCUAGGCAGAUGCUCAUUCCCUCCACAGCUCUUCAUGUUUUAUCUUCUUGAAGCAAUGUGUUUAGCUAAAGAGAGAAAAAAGUGUCUUCAAUAAGGAGAAGCAUUUUUUGGUCAAGGUUAUACAAGUAGCUGUGCUUCUCUGUUAGAACCAUCAACCAGGAUAUAAUGGUCUAUCUAAAGGCCUAUUUAGUCUAGUGAUAUAUCAUUCUUGGGGGGGGGUUAUUUGAAAUGCACCCAA
RNAcentral lists this small nuclear RNA (303 nucleotides) under Mus pahari (shrew mouse). Its description in RNAcentral is "sRNA (MGP_PahariEiJ_G0008084.1)". It matches the Rfam family "7SK RNA". From Rfam's summary of the family: 7SK was discovered as an abundant small nuclear RNA in the mid-70s but a possible function has only recently been suggested. Two independent studies have found that 7SK RNA binds the CDK9/cyclin T complex (known as elongation factor P-TEFb). The record is from RNAcentral. Lineage: Eukaryota; Metazoa; Chordata; Mammalia; Rodentia; Muridae.